Molecule: ribosomal RNA, 253 nt
Filed under: uncultured bacterium
Lineage: Bacteria
Description: partial 16S ribosomal RNA
Rfam family: Bacterial small subunit ribosomal RNA
Source: RNAcentral
UACGUAGGGGGCAAGCGUUAUCCGGAUUUACUGGGUGUAAAGGGAGCGUAGACGGUGAUGCAAGUCAGAAGUGAAAGCCCGGGGCUCAACCGCGGAACUGCAUUUGAAACUGUCAGUCUUGAGUACCGGAGAGGUCAUCGGAAUUCCUUGUGUAGCGGUGAAAUGCAUAGAUAUAACUUAGAACACCGAUAGCGAAGGCAGCUUACCAGACUGAGUCUGACGCUGAUGCACGAGAGCAUGGGUAGCGAACAGG